GCCGUAGCCAUUUUGGC
This 17-nucleotide small RNA is filed under the name Prorocentrum minimum. RNAcentral's name for it is "trans-spliced leader sequence SL-like". Lineage: Eukaryota; Dinophyceae; Prorocentrales; Prorocentraceae. The record is from RNAcentral.